RNAcentral lists this ribosomal RNA (492 nucleotides) under uncultured bacterium. Its description in RNAcentral is "partial 16S ribosomal RNA". It matches the Rfam family "Bacterial small subunit ribosomal RNA", at positions 29 to 507 of the family's 1533-position model. The record is from RNAcentral.
AGUGAACGCUGGCGGUAGGCCUAACACAUGCAAGUCGAACGGCAGCACAGUAAGAGCUUGCUCUUACGGGUGGCGAGUGGCGGACGGGUGAGGAAUACAUCGGAAUCUACUUUUUCGUGGGGGAUAACGUAGGGAAACUUACGCUAAUACCGCAUACGACCUACGGGUGAAAGCAGGGGAUCUUCGGACCUUGCGCGAUUGAAUGCGCCGAUGUCGGAUUAGCUAGUUGGCGGGGUAAAGGCCCACCAAGGCGACGAUCCGUAGCUGGUCUGAGAGGAUGAUCAGCGACACUGGAACUGAGACACGGUCCAGACUCCUACGGGAGGCAGCAGUGGGGAAUAUUGGACAAUGGGGGCAAGCCUGAUCCAGCCAUACCGCGUGGGUGAAGAAGGCCUUCGGGUUGUAAAGCCCUUUUGUUGGGAAAGAAAAGCAGCAGGUUAAUACCCCGCUGUUCUGACGGUACCCAAAGAAUAAGCACCGGCUAACUUCGUG